RNAcentral lists this transfer RNA (61 nucleotides) under Hemicaecilius mockfordi. RNAcentral describes it as "tRNA-Ala". Lineage: Eukaryota; Metazoa; Arthropoda; Insecta; Psocodea; Sphaeropsocidae. The record is from RNAcentral.
AAGAUUAUAGUUAAAUAUAACAUUUGAAUUGCGCUCAAAAAGUAUCAUCUGAUUUUUCUUA